GUUUCCGUAGUGUAGCGGUUAUCACGUUAAGCCUCACGCGAAAGGUCCCCAGUUCGAAACUGGGCGGAAACA
Molecule: transfer RNA, 72 nt
Filed under: Anguilla anguilla (European eel)
Lineage: Eukaryota; Metazoa; Chordata; Actinopteri; Anguilliformes; Anguillidae
Description: tRNA-Val
Source: RNAcentral